UAAUACCAGCACCCCGAGUGGUCGGGACGAUUAUUGGGCCUAAAGCAUCCGUAGCCGGUUGUGCAAGUCCUCCGUUAAAUCCAGCCGCUCAACGGAUGGGCUGCGGAGGAUACUACAGAACUAGGAGGCGGGAGAGGCAAGCGGUACUUAGUGGGUAGGGGUAAAAUCCUUUGAUCCAUUGAAGACCACCAGUGGCGAAGGCGGCUUGCCAGAACGCGCUCGACGGUGAGGGAUGAAAGCUGGGGGAGCAAACCGGAUUAGAUACCCGGGUAGUCCCAGCUGUAAACGAUGCAGACUCGGUGAUGGGCUAGCCUCGUGUCAGCCCAGUGCCGCAGGGAAGCCGUUAAGUCUGCCGCCUGGGGAGUACGGUCGCAAGACUGAAACUCAAAUGAAUUGA
This 397-nucleotide ribosomal RNA is filed under the name uncultured archaeon. RNAcentral's name for it is "bacterial SSU rRNA". It matches the Rfam family "Archaeal small subunit ribosomal RNA", at positions 471 to 868 of the family's 1478-position model. The record is from RNAcentral.